GGGAAUGUGGCUUAGUGGUAGAGUGCAUGCCUAGCAUGCAUGAAGCCCUGGGUUCAAUUCCUCAGUACCA
RNAcentral lists this transfer RNA (70 nucleotides) under Dipodomys ordii (Ord's kangaroo rat). It matches the Rfam family "tRNA". From Rfam's summary of the family: Transfer RNA (tRNA) molecules are approximately 80 nucleotides in length. Their secondary structure includes four short double-helical elements and three loops (D, anti-codon, and T loops). The record is from Rfam by way of RNAcentral. Lineage: Eukaryota; Metazoa; Chordata; Mammalia; Rodentia; Heteromyidae.